AGCUUUGCGCAGUGGCAAUAUUGUAGCCAGUGAGGUUUAUCCGAGCUGCGAUGAUUGCUAAUUGAAAACUUUUCCCGCCAGGACGACUUGAAAUAUAGUCACCAUUGGCAAUUUUUGACAGUCUCUAUGGAAA
This 133-nucleotide small nuclear RNA is filed under the name Echinops telfairi (small Madagascar hedgehog). Its description in RNAcentral is "U4 spliceosomal RNA (ENSETEG00000022275.1)". It matches the Rfam family "U4 spliceosomal RNA". Rfam says of the family: U4 small nuclear RNA (U4 snRNA) is a component of the major U2-dependent spliceosome. The structure of U4 snRNA from yeast and human has been reported. Lineage: Eukaryota; Metazoa; Chordata; Mammalia; Afrosoricida; Tenrecidae. The record is from RNAcentral.